This is a long non-coding RNA of Cornus florida, 982 nucleotides long. RefSeq lists it as uncharacterized. NCBI's taxonomy places the organism in Eukaryota, Viridiplantae, Streptophyta, Magnoliopsida, Cornales, Cornaceae. The transcript is spliced from 2 exons. The record is from RefSeq and is a predicted model, not a curated record.
UUUAGCCCUUCUUCUUCUUCUUCAAAUUCGUUUGGCCUUCUUCUUCUUGGUCUUGGUGGCUACUGCCGUAGAAAGGGAAGGGAAGACUGGAGCUUCUGGUGAGCUUUAGUUCCAGGAGCUUCAAUACUUCUCACCAAAGAGUUUCAGAACAGUGAUCAACCAUGCUUGAAAGAUGACAUCGACGAAGAAGCUGCAAAGUUCAAUUGUUCCGCUGACAGCUCAGAGUGAAGAGUCCCAGUCGUUGCUACUGUCGUAGUAAUCAAAAAUUGUUAGUGAAACCACCGAGAAAAGGUUCCUAGCAUGAUUGGUUAGAGAUACAGAGAAUCAUUGCUACGGAAUUGUGAAUAGUGCUUGUAACAGUCGACUUCCCCACUAAUUUGUGCUGAUCGGUUUCGUCUGUGUGUAGAGGCUUUUCCAUUGGUUUGUGUUGGCUAAAAACCUCUAUUAUUUUUCUUUGCUGUUCUACAACAACCAUUGGCCACUUCACCGGUGCAGGACCUUGUAGUGCUGCCUUGCCCCGUCCUUUCCCAGGUGUCGUUGAAGAUCGGCGUGGUUAUUGUUGCCGAUCACAAGGGUUGUUGUCAGAGAAAGCCUGGAAAGGUUCUAGCCACGCCGUCUGGUCACCUUCGAUCCAACUACAGUCGCUAUCACAGAAGUUCAGUUUGUGAAGAAAUGUGGGGGAGACCAACGGGCUAAUGGCCUAGCGGUAUCAGCUUCUUACCUCCCACAGGAAGGUGAAUGGUUCAAGUCUCAGAAAAGACAAGUGGAAGAUAAAAAAGGACAAUUGGUUAUAUGGGUAAAAUGGAAAUGAUAGUACUAAUUUAUGUCAGAUUUUUUAUUGAGGGUUUAUUUUCUCACAAUGUGAAAAAAAAAUAGAGGGGUUUUUUGCACAUUUUUCUAAAUAAGGGGUUCAAAUGUUAUACAAAGUAUAAUUUAGGAGUGUUUUUCGUAUUUUGCCUAAUAAAUUAUUAUUUUAUACUUA